RNAcentral lists this transfer RNA (72 nucleotides) under Candidatus Bathyarchaeota archaeon. RNAcentral's name for it is "tRNA-His". It matches the Rfam family "tRNA". Rfam says of the family: Transfer RNA (tRNA) molecules are approximately 80 nucleotides in length. Their secondary structure includes four short double-helical elements and three loops (D, anti-codon, and T loops). Further hydrogen bonds mediate the characteristic L-shaped molecular structure. tRNAs have two regions of fundamental functional importance: the anti-codon, which is responsible for specific mRNA codon recognition, and the 3' end, to which the tRNAs corresponding amino acid is attached (by aminoacyl-tRNA synthetases). tRNAs cope with the degeneracy of the genetic code in two manners: having more than one tRNA (with a specific anti-codon) for a particular amino acid; and 'wobble' base-pairing, i.e. permitting non-standard base-pairing at the 3rd anti-codon position. The record is from RNAcentral. Lineage: Archaea; Thermoproteati; Candidatus Bathyarchaeota. RNAcentral also lists the same sequence under 1 other name.
GCCUCUGUGGUGUAACGGCUAGCAUACAGGCCUGUGGAGCCUACGGCCCGGGUUCGACUCCCGGCAGAGGCC